UGGACAUGACUGUGUAAUAAUAU
RNAcentral lists this small nuclear RNA (23 nucleotides) under Arabidopsis thaliana (thale cress). Its description in RNAcentral is "snRNA_11489". The record is from RNAcentral. Lineage: Eukaryota; Viridiplantae; Streptophyta; Magnoliopsida; Brassicales; Brassicaceae.